GUCCCAGCUUUGAUGCACCUGUACUGACCUCGCCUUCUGGAUGGUAGCGGUGUGAAUAGGCAUUUGUCAAAGUGGACGAUUCUCGGGAGGCCCCUAUGGACUCUACAUGCUGUGACCUGCAGAGAGGAUCCAGUCCUGGAUGGGAACAUGUGUGUUGUCCUGUUACAGAGAUGGGAUCUUAUCUCACACGGGCACGUACAUAUGGAACACUCAAUACACUGGAGGAGCUCCUCAAACAGAUGGGAAAAUAGCAAUGCAGUCCAACUUUUUAAGAUUGACCGAAAAAUGGGUAAUUGUUACUAAGUAUGACUAUACGGACAACAACAAGAAACAACAACAGAUUACAUAAGGACUACUCCACACAGCCAAAACCAUAUACUACAGACGAACAAUACAUAACAAACAACUGAUAAGAAAGUGC
RNAcentral lists this long non-coding RNA (421 nucleotides) under Salmo salar (Atlantic salmon). RNAcentral describes it as "lncRNA (ENSSSAG00000091995.1)". Lineage: Eukaryota; Metazoa; Chordata; Actinopteri; Salmoniformes; Salmonidae. The record is from RNAcentral.